CCUACGGGAGGCAGCAGUGAGGAAUAUUGGUCAAUGGACGAGAGUCUGAACCAGCCAAGUAGCGUGAAGGAUGACUGCCCUAUGGGUUGUAAACUUCUUUUAUAUGGGAAUAAAACAGGGUAUGCAUACCCUCUUGUAUGUACCAUAUGAAUAAGGAUCGGCUAACUCCGUGCCAGCAGCCGCGGUAAUACGGAGGAUCCGAGCGUUAUCCGGAUUUAUUGGGUUUAAAGGGAGCGUAGGUGGAUUGUUAAGUCAGUUGUGAAAGUUUGCGGCUCAACCGUAAAAUUGCAGUUGAAACUGGCAGGCUUGAGGACAGUAGAGGUGGGCGGAAGGCGUGGUGUAGCGGUGAAAUGCUUAGAUAUCACGAAGAACUCCGAUUGCGAAGGCAGCUCACUGGACUGCAACUGACACUGAUGCUCGAAAGUGUGGGUAUCAAACAGGAUUAGAUACCCCGGUAGUC
RNAcentral lists this ribosomal RNA (460 nucleotides) under uncultured bacterium. RNAcentral's name for it is "partial 16S ribosomal RNA". It matches the Rfam family "Bacterial small subunit ribosomal RNA", at positions 338 to 795 of the family's 1533-position model. The record is from RNAcentral.